Molecule: ribosomal RNA, 406 nt
Filed under: uncultured bacterium
Lineage: Bacteria
Description: partial 16S ribosomal RNA
Rfam family: Bacterial small subunit ribosomal RNA
Source: RNAcentral
AUUGAACGCUGGCGGCAUGCCUUACACAUGCAAGUCGAACGAGUGGCGGACGGGUGCGUAAUAUAUGGGAAACUGCCUAAUGGAGGGGGAUAACUACUGGAAACUGUAGCUAAUACCGCGUACCAUUGGAUGGGCCCAAGUUGGAUUAGCUAGUUGGUGGGGUAAAGGCUCACCAAGGCGACGAGCCCUAGCUGGUCUGAGAGGAUGACCAGCCACACUGUGACUGAGACACGGCCCAGACUCCUACGGGAGGCAGCAGUGGGGAAUAUUGGGCAAUGGGGGCAACCCUGAUGCAGCCAUGCCGCGUGAAUGAAGAAGGCCUUCGGGUUGUAAAGUUCUUUCGGUAGCGAGGCGGUAACUACAGAAGAAGCACCGGCUAACUCCGUGCCAGCAGCCGCGGUAAUUC